UAAUGUUCCUGCUUGUUCCUAU
This 22-nucleotide microRNA is filed under the name Nematostella vectensis (starlet sea anemone). RNAcentral's name for it is "Nve-Mir-2028_5p (mature (guide))". Lineage: Eukaryota; Metazoa; Cnidaria; Anthozoa; Actiniaria; Edwardsiidae. The record is from RNAcentral.